GAUAAGGGGACACCGAGUGCCAGCAUCAUAUGCUGGCUGUCCAGAUGUGUAAAAUACAUCUGUUAGCAAGGGCCGGGCAAGACCGGUGCCAGCCGCCGCGGUAACACCGGCGGCCCGAGUGGUGAUCGUGAUUAUUGGGUCUAAAGGGUCCGUAGCCGGUUUGGUCAGUCCUCCGGGAAAUCUGAUAGCUCAACUAUUAGGCUUUCGGGGGAUACUGCCAGACUUGGAACCGGGAGAGGUAAGAGGUACUACAGGGGUAGGAGUGAAAUCUUGUAAUCCCUGUGGGACCACCUGUGGCGAAGGCGUCUUACCAGAACGGGUUCGACGGUGAGGGACGAAAGCUGGGGGCACGAACCGGAUUAGAUACCCGGGUAGUCCCAGCCGUAAACGAUGCUCGCUAGGUGUCAGACAUGGCGCGACCGUGUCUGGUGCCGCAGGGAAGCCGUGAAGCGAGCCACCUGGGAAGUACGGCCGCAAGGCUGAAACUUAAAGGAAUUGGCGGGGGAGCACAACAACGGGUGGAGCCUGCGGUUU
Molecule: ribosomal RNA, 534 nt
Filed under: uncultured Methanosarcina sp.
Lineage: Archaea; Methanobacteriati; Methanobacteriota; Methanomicrobia; Methanosarcinales; Methanosarcinaceae
Description: bacterial SSU rRNA
Rfam family: Archaeal small subunit ribosomal RNA
Source: RNAcentral